Molecule: ribosomal RNA, 460 nt
Filed under: uncultured bacterium
Lineage: Bacteria
Description: partial 16S ribosomal RNA
Rfam family: Bacterial small subunit ribosomal RNA
Source: RNAcentral
CCUACGGGGGGCAGCAGUGAGGAAUAUUGGUCAAUGGACGAGAGUCUGAACCAGCCAAGUAGCGUGAAGGAUGACUGCCCUAUGGGUUGUAAACUUCUUUUAUCUGGGAAUAAAAUGUUCCACGUGUGGGAUUUUGUAUGUACCAUAUGAAUAAGGAUCGGCUAACUCCGUGCCAGCAGCCGCGGUAAUACGGAGGAUCCGAGCGUUAUCCGGAUUUAUUGGGUUUAAAGGGAGCGUAGGCGGAUUGUUAAGUCAGUUGUGAAAGUUUGCGGCUCAACCGUAAAAUUGCAGUUGAAACUGGCAGUCUUGAGUACAGGAGAGGUAGGCGGAAUUCGUGGUGUAGCGGUGAAAUGCUUAGAUAUCACGAAGAACUCCGAUUGCGAAGGCAGUUCACUGGACUGCAACUGACACUGAGGCUCGAAAGUGUGGGUAUCAAACAGGAUUAGAUACCCCAGUAGUC